RNAcentral lists this non-coding RNA (28 nucleotides) under Macaca fascicularis (crab-eating macaque). Lineage: Eukaryota; Metazoa; Chordata; Mammalia; Primates; Cercopithecidae. The record is from RNAcentral. RNAcentral also lists the same sequence under 1 other name.
UGAGCUCUGAAGUGAGGAGUGAUAUGGC